RNAcentral lists this long non-coding RNA (544 nucleotides) under Lathyrus oleraceus (garden pea). RNAcentral's name for it is "Pisum sativum (pea) long non-coding RNA (PSAT_LNC015961)". The record is from RNAcentral. Lineage: Eukaryota; Viridiplantae; Streptophyta; Magnoliopsida; Fabales; Fabaceae.
UGGCAUUGUUGACAUUUGAAAAAAAAUAGAAAACCAUAAGUUCACGCUAUAUAAACAUUGACCAUUGGAAUUGAGAGGGAGAGAAAACCUAGACCAAUAAAAAUUAAUUUACGGCAUUGCAUAAUGAUCUAAUCAUCUCUCUCCAAAUUUCAUCUUUCUCGAUUGUGGCAUUGUUCACGUGAACCCUUCACAUUUUUAUCAUCACCAACUCAUGACUAUGAGCUCUAUUUCCACGAAGAAAGAAAGGGAACAUCACCUACCUUCAUUUUCUGACAUAUCAAACAAACUACAUCUCCAUCUACAUAAAAAAAAAAUCGAAAACUUCCUCCACCAAACUACAUCCAAACACCACCAUGUCAAGGGAACUCGUAACACCAUAUACCACACUCCAAAGAAAUCACGACCAAAGCUUUAUCUCCACAUUUUAACUCUUAUUUCCUAUCAACAUCACCACCUUACUCUGAAUAACUUGUCCUCCAUACUCGCACAACAACAAAAAACCUUUAAGUUUGCUUCCACCAUACGCAAAUCAUUUUUCACAUCA